CCGGGGCAGAAGGAGAAGUUGGAGGCGGCGGCGGCGGCCGCGGGGAGUGCGGUGCUGAGCGGAGCUGGGCGGCGAGGGGAGCAGCGGCUAACCUGCUCCUCGGACAUCGCUGUUGCGGCAGCAUCACGUCGCUUCGUCCGCAUGACGCCUCUAACCCCGAGCGGGACACGAGGUGCAGCCACACGCCGAGGAAUCCCACACCCGUCCGUCUGUCCGUCCGUCCGUCUGCUGGUUUGACAUCGGCCCCUGAGCGAGAGGUGGGAUGCUGGUAGGGCACAGCCGCAUGGUGCGGGCGGCAGCGGGCCAAGGAGGGAUGGAUCUCCUCUUUCUGGCCCAGUUUGUUUCCGAAGUCAAUAAAUGCUUACGGACACCGUCGCAAGUUAAAGGGAUGCUUUAUCCCAGCUGGUGACGUCUUGAUACCCAGUGAGUGACUAACUGAACUGCUAUUGCCAAGGGUGUGUUAAUAGAAGAAACCAUGCCUGGUAUUGCCCUGGAUGAGUCACCUUUAAAGAGAGACUCUGUAAUCUGUUAAACGAGAAGCAGCAACGAGCUUUGCUUUCCUUCUUUGCUGUUUGCUUCCCAUCGCACCCCGCACCUUUGCUCGCUCUUUCCUGCUCCCACCCACGGGGCCGCCUGUCCCUCUGUCACCGUGGUGUCACACAGCUGAGGAGCACAGCACAGGGGCUGCUCACCGGGCAGCACAGCUGUCGCUGGGAGUGGAGGAAGUGACGAGGCAAAUUGCUGCUCGAGCAAAGUUCUCUUUCGAUUUUGAACCCAUAAAGAAGCUGGGUGGUUGGAAAGUGUCCUGUUAGGUUAUGGCAUGGCUUCGUCUCCUGCUUACACUAAUUGCAUGCAGGCAGUGCCCUCCGGGCUUUCCAGAAGGGCCUGGGUAGCCUCUGUUGUGGCUGUGUUGCUUGCAUGUAACCCUGGGCUGUUGCAGCAGUGUUGUCAGUAAGCGCUUAACGUACAGAAAGGCAGCACAACAUCCUUCUUGCAGACCCAAGUCUCCCAUACAGAAGUGCUGCCUGUCUCCGCCUCCCCUGCCUUAUUCCUUUGACAUUUCUCCUUCCAGGUCCCAGAGGAGCUAUCUGCUCAUCAGGAAGGAAAAUGCAGGAAGGAGGCAUGCUUUGCAUGCCUUGUGCAGAGCAAGUGAGUCUAGGUUGCUCCUGCACUCCGGAAAGCUGCCUGAAUUUACCAAAGCUGCUUUUACACUUGUUCUGUAGCUCGGUGCCUGGCUGCUGGGGAUCCCACUGGCAGAAAUGGCUCUGCAGGUCGCUUUGAUAAGGUUGGUCCUGCUUCCCAUCAGGCAGCACUUGGUAUGAAAACUUGUGACUUCCCUCCACCGACCAUCCUGUUCGGUUUCAGUAAGCAAAGGCAAGGGAUUGAAUGAAGUUUGUUUGCAUUUCCUUUCUUUUUCUUGUGCUUCCCUCCCAGUAAGUGGGGGAAACGUAUCACUGAAUUCCUGUUUUUAACAUUCUUUUGGCAUGAUUCAAAACUAAAGUACUGUGCUGUCACCUGAAGUGUUCAAUAAACGGUGCAAAACCAGUGUC
Molecule: non-coding RNA, 1550 nt
Organism: Coturnix japonica (Japanese quail)
Lineage: Eukaryota; Metazoa; Chordata; Aves; Galliformes; Phasianidae
Source: RefSeq, a predicted model, not a curated record